CCCUAGCCCCGAUAGAAGUGGAAAUCCUUUUGUGGCGGGGUUCGCCGCAAAAGAUUGGAACGGAUAGCGGGAUUAGCU
RNAcentral lists this small RNA (78 nucleotides) under Flavobacterium saccharophilum. RNAcentral describes it as "Flavo-1 RNA". It matches the Rfam family "Flavo-1 RNA". The record is from RNAcentral. Lineage: Bacteria; Pseudomonadati; Bacteroidota; Flavobacteriia; Flavobacteriales; Flavobacteriaceae.